CGUGUAACGAUGAUCUCCGUAAUGACUUGUCAGUGCAAGCGAAAGUGAUAAGUAUCACUUGGGGAAGUACGACGCCAGUGAACUCAAGGAAUUGACGGGGCCGCACAAGCGGUGGAGCAUGUGUUAAUCGAUGAUACGCGAGGAACCUUAUCAGGGCUUAAAUGCAGAACGACAGAGGUGGAAACACCUCGAUCCUUCGGACGGUCUGCAACGUGCUGCAUGGUAGUCGUCAGCUCGUGCUGUGAAGUGUCGGGAUAAGUCCCAUAACGAGCGCAAUCCCCUAUUUCUAGUUGCCAGCGGUUCGUCCGGGGACUCUAGAGAAACCGCCAGCGUAAGCUGUGAGGAAGGCGGGGAUGUCGUCAAAUCAUCAACUAUCCUACGUAAUCGGUUCCUCACGUCUUGCAAUCGUAGGGACAGAGCCGAGGUCCUAUCGAGGGUUCCAUAAUAACAAUUCAUGGCUCAGUUCGGCUCGGAGCACUCUAAUUGCCUCAAAGUAAAAGUAAUGGAUAGUACUCCCCUCUCACACAUGCAGCUGCGAUUUCCAAGAAGGUCCUCAGGUCCUCCCAGAUACUCACCAUCAGGGCGGGGGGCGUCGUGAAGUCCAGAAAUGUAAGGAGCGAGCUAGGGCGCGCAUCAACUUGGAUAUAAGUUAUAGGCAAGGGAAUUCGCGCGGCCGCUGGCACC
RNAcentral lists this ribosomal RNA (684 nucleotides) under uncultured bacterium. Its description in RNAcentral is "bacterial SSU rRNA". The stretch from base 1 to 579 matches the Rfam family "Bacterial small subunit ribosomal RNA", at positions 800 to 1533 of the family's 1533-position model. The record is from RNAcentral.